GACUACACGGGUAUCUAAGCCCAUUCGCUACCCACGCUUUCGUCCCUCAGUGUCAGGAAUAGUCCAGCAAGAUGCCUUCGCUUUUGGUAUUCCUUAUAAUAUCAACGCAUUUUACUGCUACACUAUAAGUUCUACUUGCCCCUACUAUCCUCUAGAAUAAACGUUUCAAAUGCAGUUUUAAGGUUAAGCCCUAAAAUUUGACAUCUGACUAUUUAUCCAACCUACAGACGCUUUACGCCCAAUAAAUCCGGAUAACGCUUGAGGUCUCUGUAUUACCGCUGCUGCUGGCACAGAGUUAGCAACCUCUUAUUCGCUAGGUACCAUCAAAGUUUGUCCCUAACAAAAGAGCUUUACACCCCGAAGGGCUUCAUCGCUCACGCGGCGUCGCUCGUUCACACUUGCGUGCAUUGACGAAGAUUCUCGACUGCAGCCCCCCGUAGG
This 441-nucleotide ribosomal RNA is filed under the name uncultured bacterium. RNAcentral's name for it is "partial 16S ribosomal RNA". The record is from RNAcentral.